ACAUACCGAAAGGGAAACACCCGUUCCCAUCCCGAACACGGAAGUUAAGCCUUUCAGGGACGAUGAUACUGCAGCUGUGAGGCUGUGGGAAAGUAGUACGUUGCCG
Molecule: ribosomal RNA, 106 nt
Filed under: marine eukaryotic metagenome
Source: RNAcentral